UACGUAGGGGGCAAGCGUUGUCCGGAUUUAUUGGGCGUAAAGAGCGUGUAGGCGGCCAGGUAGGUCCGUUGUGAAAACUAGAGGCUCAACCUCUAGACGUCGAUGGAAACCAUCUGGCUAGAGUCCGGAAGAGGAGAGUGGAAUUCCUGGUGUAGCGGUGAAAUGCGCAGAUAUCAGGAAGAACACCCGUGGCGAAGGCGGCUCUCUGGGACGGCACUGACGCUGAGACGCGAAAGCGUGGGGAGCGAACAGG
RNAcentral lists this ribosomal RNA (253 nucleotides) under uncultured bacterium. RNAcentral describes it as "partial 16S ribosomal RNA". It matches the Rfam family "Bacterial small subunit ribosomal RNA", at positions 524 to 776 of the family's 1533-position model. The record is from RNAcentral.